Molecule: ribosomal RNA, 1207 nt
Filed under: Staphylococcus saprophyticus
Lineage: Bacteria; Bacillati; Bacillota; Bacilli; Caryophanales; Staphylococcaceae
Description: bacterial SSU rRNA
Rfam family: Bacterial small subunit ribosomal RNA
Source: RNAcentral
UUGACGUUAGCGGCGGACGGGUGAGUAACACGUGGGUAACCUACCUAUAAGACUGGGAUAACUUCGGGAAACCGGAGCUAAUACCGGAUAACAUUUGGAACCGCAUGGUUCUAAAGUGAAAGAUGGUUUUGCUAUCACUUAUAGAUGGACCCGCGCCGUAUUAGCUAGUUGGUAAGGUAACGGCUUACCAAGGCAACGAUACGUAGCCGACCUGAGAGGGUGAUCGGCCACACUGGAACUGAGACACGGUCCAGACUCCUACGGGAGGCAGCAGUAGGGAAUCUUCCGCAAUGGGCGAAAGCCUGACGGAGCAACGCCGCGUGAGUGAUGAAGGGUUUCGGCUCGUAAAACUCUGUUAUUAGGGAAGAACAAAUGUGUAAGUAACUGUGCACAUCUUGACGGUACCUAAUCAGAAAGCCACGGCUAACUACGUGCCAGCAGCCGCGGUAAUACGUAGGUGGCAAGCGUUAUCCGGAAUUAUUGGGCGUAAAGCGCGCGUAGGCGGUUUCUUAAGUCUGAUGUGAAAGCCCACGGCUCAACCGUGGAGGGUCAUUGGAAACUGGGAAACUUGAGUGCAGAAGAGGAAAGUGGAAUUCCAUGUGUAGCGGUGAAAUGCGCAGAGAUAUGGAGGAACACCAGUGGCGAAGGCGACUUUCUGGUCUGUAACUGACGCUGAUGUGCGAAAGCGUGGGGAUCAAACAGGAUUAGAUACCCUGGUAGUCCACGCCGUAAACGAUGAGUGCUAAGUGUUAAGGGGGUUUCCGCCCCUUAGUGCUGCAGCUAACGCAUUAAGCACUCCGCCUGGGGAGUACGACCGCAAGGUUGAAACUCAAAGGAAUUGACGGGGACCCGCACAAGCGGUGGAGCAUGUGGUUUAAUUCGAAGCAACGCGAAGAACCUUACCAAAUCUUGACAUCCUUUGAAAACUCUAGAGAUAGAGCCUUCCCCUUCGGGGGACAAAGUGACAGGUGGUGCAUGGUUGUCGUCAGCUCGUGUCGUGAGAUGUUGGGUUAAGUCCCGCAACGAGCGCAACCCUUAAGCUUAGUUGCCAUCAUUAAGUUGGGCACUCUAGGUUGACUGCCGGUGACAAACCGAAGGAAGGGUGGGGAUGACGUCCAAUCAUCAUGGCCCCUUAGGAUUUGGGCUACCAACCUGGCUACAAUGGGACAAUACAAUAGGGCCGACUUAACCGCCGGGGGCCUGCCAA